Molecule: non-coding RNA, 27 nt
Filed under: Rattus norvegicus (Norway rat)
Lineage: Eukaryota; Metazoa; Chordata; Mammalia; Rodentia; Muridae
Source: RNAcentral
UCUGAAGAGGCUUGCCUUGAAGGGAGA